Molecule: transfer RNA, 76 nt
Filed under: Rhodocyclaceae bacterium
Lineage: Bacteria; Pseudomonadati; Pseudomonadota; Betaproteobacteria; Rhodocyclales; Rhodocyclaceae
Also listed under: 3 other names
Description: tRNA-Lys
Rfam family: tRNA
About the family: Transfer RNA (tRNA) molecules are approximately 80 nucleotides in length. Their secondary structure includes four short double-helical elements and three loops (D, anti-codon, and T loops).
Source: RNAcentral
GGGUCGUUAGCUCAGCUGGUAGAGCAGCGGACUUUUAAUCCGUUGGUCGUAGGUUCGAAUCCUACACGACCCACCA